Molecule: long non-coding RNA, 1053 nt
Organism: Chinchilla lanigera (long-tailed chinchilla)
Lineage: Eukaryota; Metazoa; Chordata; Mammalia; Rodentia; Chinchillidae
Exons: 4
Source: RefSeq, a predicted model, not a curated record
GGAGGCGCUGAGAUUCCGGGCCGGGCGGCCGUGGGCAGCGGGUGCCCGUUAGGAACCGGGCCGUCGGCCUCCUCUCGUUGCCCUUUGGGGGUUCUUUUUGUAAUAGCAGCAGGACAGCUUUUCCCAUCUUCAGAAGUCGGGCCAAUUAAAAUCACGCGCUGCUUGCCCUCGGGGCUGGAGCUGGGACGGCGGGCCGAGCUGCUGGCCUAACCCCGGAGGGUCCCAGGCUGGCCAUCCGGUGCUCAGGGUUUCUCUGCUCUUACCCUCGAGUUACAUCACGUUCCUACACGAUAUGUUUUAGCAUUUGUUUAAAGAAACGAGACCCCAGCAGCCUGUAAACCCAGGCCAAGCCGGCGUGGUACAACCACAACGCGGUACUCUCCAGCGCCAGAGGAGGCCCGAGGGAGGCCCCGAGGUUCCCAGCCCCGAGGUUCAAGGUUCACCUCAGACCCCCAGCUUCCCUCGAAGGAUGAUGGGAGCCCAAAUCAAAGCGCAAAUUUAAAUCUUGCAAUCACUGCUGGGAAGUGAGCUGUAUCAUCUUGAGAAAUCAGACCACAGAGACGGGCCUGCAGCUGGCAGGCUGGGUCAUCUUUAAUCGCUUAACCCUUCAUAUCAAAGGAUGGCUUGUAGCAGCAGAUUCCUUCUCCAGAAUUUGCCAUGGCAGAUUUUCUCAAGGAAAAGCUAUGCCAGGAUGGAGAGACAACAUGGCAAGAAACUGAUUUUAUGGAUAACUGUAUAUAUCAGGAAUUUAACUCAGGACCUUACACUUGCCAGGCAGGUGCCAUGCCACUGAGCUGUAUCCCUGGCCCACCAUGGCAAGAAAUUGAGAGUUGCUUCUAACCAACAGCCAACAAGGAGCUGAGGUCCUCAGUCCAAUAGCCCAUGAGAACCUGAAUGCUACCUACAACCACUGUGCAAGUUUGGAAGUGGACCCUGCCCCAUUUGAACUCUAAAAUCACUGUGGCUCCAGUGGGUUUGUGGAUUAUAGCCUGUGAGAGACCCUGAAAACCGACGAUCUAGCUUAGCCAUGCCCAGAUUCCCAGUCCACAGAAA